UCCGAGUUGACCCCGGCAGUCUCCUACGAGUCCCCGGCACUACCCGCUGGCAACAUAGGACAAGGGUUGCGCUCGUUGCGGGACUUAACCCAACAUCUCACGACACGAGCUGACGACAACCAUGCACCACCUGUGCAGGGCCCUUGCGGACCUCCCAUCUCUGGGAGAUUUCCCUGCAUGUCAAGCCUUGGUAAGGUUCUUCGCGUUGCGUCGAAUUAAGCCAUAUGCUCCGCUGCUUGUGCGGGCCCCGUCAAUUCCUUUGAGUUUUAGCCUUGCGGCCGUACUCCCCAGGUGGAUUACUUAACGCUUUCGCUAAGACGCUGACUGUGUAUCGCCAACAUCGAGUAAUCAUCGUUUACAGCGUGGACUAC
RNAcentral lists this unclassified non-coding RNA (371 nucleotides) under uncultured Actinomycetes bacterium. RNAcentral's name for it is "uncultured actinobacterium contains 16S-23S intergenic spacer region". The record is from RNAcentral. Lineage: Bacteria; Bacillati; Actinomycetota; Actinomycetes.